AACGAACGCUGGCGGCAUGCCUAACACAUGCAAGUCGAACGAGACCUUCGGGUCUAGUGGCGCACGGGUGCGUAACGCGUGGGAACCUGCCCUUAGGUUCGGAAUAACUCCCCGAAAGGGGUGCUAAUACCGGAUCAUGUCUUCGGACCAAAGAUUUAUCGCCUUUGGGUGGGCCCGCGUUGGAUUAGCUAGUUGGUAGGGUAAAAGGCUACCAAGGCGACGAUCCAUAGCUGGUCUGAGAGGAUGAUCAGCCACACUGGGACUGAGACACGGUCCAGACUCCUACGGGAGGCAGCAGUGGGGAAUAUUGGACAAUGGGCGAAAGCCUGAUCCAGCAAUGCCGCGUGAGUGAUGAAGGCCGUAGGGUUGUAAAGCUCUUUUACCCGGGAUGAUAAUGACAGUACCGGGAGAAUAAGCUCCGGCUAACUCCGUG
This 433-nucleotide ribosomal RNA is filed under the name uncultured bacterium. Its description in RNAcentral is "partial 16S ribosomal RNA". It matches the Rfam family "Bacterial small subunit ribosomal RNA", at positions 29 to 507 of the family's 1533-position model. The record is from RNAcentral.